Molecule: ribosomal RNA, 514 nt
Filed under: Neofabraea sp. FL-2010c
Lineage: Eukaryota; Fungi; Ascomycota; Leotiomycetes; Helotiales; Dermateaceae
Description: eukaryotic LSU rRNA
Rfam family: 5.8S ribosomal RNA (bases 163-316)
Source: RNAcentral
AUUACAGAGUUCAUGCCCUUCGGGGUAUGUCUCCCACCCGUGUCAUCGCACCUUUGUUGCUUUGGCGGGCCCGCCUCGGCCACAGGCUCCGGUUGGGGAGCGCCCGCCAGAGGACCCCAAACUCUGAAAUUUAAUGUCGUCUGAUUACUAUAUAAUAUUUAAAACUUUCAACAACGGAUCUCUUGGUUCUGGCAUCGAUGAAAAACGCAAUUAAAUGCGAUAAGUAAUGUGAAUUGCAUAAUUCAGUGAAUCAUCGAAUCUUUGAACGCACAUUGCGCCCCUNGGUAUUCCGGGGGGCAUGCCUGUUCGAGCGUCAUUACAACCCUCAAGCUCUGCUUGGUAUUGGGCGUCCCCGGCGACGGGGUGCCCUAAAAUCAGUGGCGGUGCCGUCUGGCUCUAAGCGUAGUAAAUCUCUCGCUCUGGAUGCCCGGUGGAUGCUCGCCAGAACCCCCCAUUUUUUACAGGUUGACCUCGGAUCAGGUAGGGAUACCCGCUGAACUUAAUCAUAUCAAUA